GACGAACGCUGGCGGCGUGCCUAACACAUGCAAGUCGAGCGAGUGAAUUUCCUUCGGGAUUGAAGCUAGCGGCGGACGGGUGAGUAACACGUGGGCAACCUGCCUCAUAGAGGGGAAUAGCCUUUCGAAAGGAAGAUUAAUACCGCAUAAGAUUGUAGCUUCGCAUGAAGUCGCAAUUAAAGGAGCAAUCCGCUAUGAGAUGGGCCCGCGGCGCAUUAGCUAGUUGGGGAGGUAACGGCUCACCAAGGCGACGAUGCGUAGCCGACCUGAGAGGGUGAUCGGCCACAUUGGGACUGAGACACGGCCCAGACUCCUACGGGAGGCAGCAGUGGGGAAUAUUGCACAAUGGGGGAAACCCUGAUGCAGCAACGCCGCGUGAUUGAUGACGGCCUUCGGGUUGUAAAGCUCUGUCUUCAGGGACGAUAAUGACGGUACCCGAGGAGGAAGCCACGGCUAACUACGUGCCAGCCGCCGCCGUAA
This 480-nucleotide ribosomal RNA is filed under the name uncultured bacterium. Its description in RNAcentral is "partial 16S ribosomal RNA". It matches the Rfam family "Bacterial small subunit ribosomal RNA", at positions 28 to 523 of the family's 1533-position model. The record is from RNAcentral.